UCCGUUUGCUACUUUUUCUUUGAUGGGCUCCCCAUUGCGAGCGCAGUAAAGGAUUCCACAACAGUAUUUAAGCCCUAAUCCUUUGAGAUCGAGCAAUUCAUCCGGAGCUGGCAUUUAGCCUCCGGACUGAUCCAAGCUCCCCAGCUUCUCUCGGCUUCGGCGCCGUCGAACAGUCCCUUUCGAAAGCCGCGAGACGAGAGCUCGGGUUUGAACCUCGAUCUUUGAUCGCUACUGGUGGAGGAGGAUCGGAGGGAAGCUCGGGAGGAGUCCAGCUAUGGCGGGUGAUGGCAAAAGACGCCAUUUUGGAAGCAGAUGGUGCCAGUAGCGUCGAAAUUCUGGUCCCGGGGGUAGAAAUCGACGGCAUUGUGGAAUCCAUCUUGAUCAGGUAGGCAGCAACAACCCUCCAAAGUUCGCUGAUAGAGGGGGGAGAGGGAUGAAGGAGACCGGAAGAAAGAAAGGAUACAGAAGCAGUGCAUGAAAGGGAAGUGGGUGUUCCGGACGGAGUUGGGGAAGCGGAAUGUUGUAAGGGAGUAAGGCGAAUUGUUAAUUGACAGCGUAUCUUGCGAUAAAUCUGCGAUUCAACUGUGUCGGGAAAGGGCAAUGUUUCGAGUAUUUCCUAAUCUUGUCUCCCAAUCCUACUCCGGGGAGGAAAAGGAGAUGUAUUUCCUAAUGCCCUUCUCCCAUACGAUUCCUUCUUUCUAUGUUUAAAGCUGUUCUUUUUCUUCCUUUAAUAUUUGGAGAACAGAGGAUAUAAGAGGAACGUGCUCUGUUGUUGUCGCUAGUGCCAAACAGAAACUGGAGUUGCCUUCGCUGCUUUCUAUAUUUAAUUGGAGGGAACAGAGAAGAGUAGGGUCUCUCGCGCUCUCUCUCUCUCGUUCAUUGUCUUUGGGAUAAGUGAGCCUUUGCUUCUUUUGAGAAGGCCUUAACCACGCCUUCAUCCUCUUUCGCGCAAAUCAACACAAGAAUUGAUGCCGUUUGCUUAGAGCUAAGUAGAGGUUAGGCGCCUACUUUUGCUGCAGGGUGUGGUGCGGGAGAAAGGAGAUCGAAAAGGUGGGAGUUUUGCAGAAGUUGGUGGGGCUUUGGGGUGGGAAAAGAUACAGGCAACGGACGGAGAUGGCGGUCGGAGGGAAGAGGAGGUGGUGGUGGAAACGGAGGGCGGCGGUGGUGGCGGGCGUGACGAUUGCAGUGAGCGUGUGGUUGGGUUCCCACUGCUACUUUCGGAGGGAGAAUAUGGCCAAGGCGGAGGAGGCUCUGGUGAGCAUGUGCGAGGAGCGUGCGAGGAUGAUCCAGGACCAAUUCGCAGUAAGCGUCAACCACGUCCACGCCCUCGCCAUCCUCAUCUCCACCUUUUACUACCAGAAGCAGCCCCCAGCUCUUGAUCAGGAGACAUUUGCAUACUACACUGCCAAAACAGCAUUCGAACGGCCAUUGUUGAAUGGGGUUGCAUAUGCAGAGAGAAUCAUUCAUUCCCAACGCGAGAUAUUUGAGACUAGGCAGGGAUGGACGAUCAUGACCAUGAAAAGGGAGCCAUCACCCAUGCAAGAUGAAUAUGCUCCUGUGAUUUACUCUCAGGAGACUGUCUCUUACAUUGAGGCAAUUGAUAUGAUGUCCGGCGAGGAGGAUAGAGAGAAUAUUUUACGGGCUAGGGCUACUGGGAAAGCUGUUCUUACGAAACCUUUUAGGCUGCUUGAGUCUAACCAUCUUGGUGUAGUUUUGACAUUUCCAGUAUAUCGCUCUGGCCUUCCUGAGGAUGCAACAGUAGAACAACGCGUGGAAGCAACUGCAGGAUAUCUUGGUGGUGCUUUUGAUGUCGAGUCACUCGUGGAAAAUUUGUUGAGGCAACUAGCUGGAAAUCAGGAUAUUACUAUAAAUGUUUAUGAUAUCACCAAUGCUUCUGAACCAUUGAUAAUGUAUGGCCCUCAAAUUCCAGAGGGUUAUAUGCCACUUUCACAUGUCAGCAUGCUUGACUUUGGAGAUCCAUUCAGGAAGCACCAGAUGCACUGCAGGUAUAGGGAAAAACCUCCCCUUCCAUUGUCAGCCAUUACAACACCGUUUGGUAUUUUUGUGAUCAUUAUGCUUGGAGGUUACAUAGUAUUUGCCGCAAAAAAUCAUUAUGACAAUGUUAAGGAAGAUUGUCGGAAGAUGGAAGAGCUAAAAGUUCAAGCAGAGGCUGCAGAUGUUGCAAAAUCUCAGUUUCUUGCUACUGUCUCACAUGAGAUUAGAACACCCAUGAAUGGUGUCUUAGGAAUGCUGGACAUGCUUUUGGAUACAGAUCUGAAUUUAACUCAAAAAGAUUAUGCCCAAACUGCUCAAGUUUGUGGAAAAGCAUUGAUAUCACUGAUUAAUGAAGUUCUUGACCGGGCAAAAAUCGAAGCUGGCAAAUUAGAGAUUGAGGCAGUUCCAUUUGAUUUGAGAUCAAUCCUUGAUGAUGUUAUUUCAUUGUUCUCUUCAAAAUCAAGAGAAAAGGGCAUUGAACUUGCUGUAUUUGUAUCGGACAAAGUUCCAGAAGUUGUCACUGGUGAUCCAGGGAGAUUUCGACAGAUAAUAACAAAUCUAGUGGGCAAUUCAGUUAAAUUUACUGAAAGGGGCCACAUAUUUGUCCAAGUUCAUUUGGCUGAUAACUCAGACCUUGGAGCAGAUGAAAAAGUUUAUUCUGGCUUAAAUGGGCUAUCACAAUCAGAAAAGGUACAAAUCAUGUCUGAUUGCACUUUCGAUACUUUAAGUGGUUUCGAAGCUGCAGACACCAGAAACAAUUGGGAAAAUUUCAAGCUGCUGCUUUCAGAUGAAAUGAUUUUGCCAGAGGCCUCAACAUCUGAUAAAGAACCUGAUAUUGUCACCUUGAUAGUACGUGUUGAGGAUACAGGGAUUGGGAUCCCAUUAUGUGCCCAGGAUCGUGUCUUCACACCUUUCAUGCAGGCUGACAGCUCAACUUCCAGGAACUAUGGAGGAACUGGUAUUGGCCUGAGCAUUACUAAAUGUCUGGUUGAAUUGAUGGGUGGACAAAUUAACUUCAUUAGCCGACCAAAUGUUGGAAGUACAUUUACAUUUACUGCUGUUUUUAAACGAUGCAACAAGGAUGCAAUUGCAGACACAAAGAGAACUCUUUCUGAGGCUUUACCUACUGGAUUUAGGGGAAUGAAAGCAUUUAUAGUUGAUGGAAAGCCAGUAAGAAAUGCUGUAACAAGGUAUCAUUUAAAGAGGUUGGGCAUAGCUGUUGAGGUUGCAAAUACUGUCAAGAUGAUGCUUAAUUCUUUGACCCGACAAAAUUCUAAUUUUAGAACUGGGAGACAACCAUACAUUAUAUUAAUUGAAAAGGACUCAUGGUACACUGGUAUGGAUGUUUACUUGCAUAAUCAGUUGCUGUUACUUAAGCAGAAUGAUUGUGUACUAGAACUGCCAAAGAUCAUACUUUUGGUGACUUGUGAAUAUGAUAAAAUGAGUACUGGUUCCUUAGUUGAUACUGUAAUCAACAAGCCUCUAAGGGCAAGCACUGUGGCAGCAUGCCUUCAGCAGGUGCUUGGAAUGGAAAAACAACAGAAGAAAGAGUUGUCCAAUGGUCCAACUAAUCUUCGCAACCUGUUAGCAGGUAAGAACAUAUUAGUGAUUGACGACAACAAAGUAAAUCUUAGGGUUGCUGCAAGUGCUCUUAAGAAAUAUGGGGCGAGAGUGGAAUGUGCUGAAAGUGGGAAAGAUGCCCUGUCACUCCUUCAACUGCCACAUAAGUUUGAUGCCUGUUUCAUGGAUGUUCAGAUGCCUGAAAUGGAUGGGUUUGAAGCAACUAGACAGAUACGUUUGAUGGAGAGCAAGGCAAAUGAACAAAUCAGUAUCGGAGGAGCCAGCAGAGGAGAGGAUUCUAUGAUAGUUGAGUGGCACCUGCCGAUUCUGGCCAUGACUGCUGAUGUGAUCCAGGCUACAUAUGAGGAGUGCUUGAAAUGUGGAAUGGAUGGUUAUGUCUCCAAGCCCUUUGAGGAGCAGCAGCUUUUUCAGGCAGUUGCCAAGUUCUUGGUAUCAAAACCCAGCUCAGAUUCAUGACAAAGAUUUUCUACAGAGAGUUAUAACAUGGUGCAUUCUACACACAACAAGAUGGUGUUAGUGGUGAUAGUCCAUAGAGCCAUUAGUAGGAAGGAUAGUGUGUACAAAUGAGUAAGGUGGGCUCAGCAACAUGUUCCUUGGGAUGCUAUGUUACAUCAUCGCUCUUCCAGCAGUAUCUGACAUAAUCCCCACUCUCUUUUCUUUGGAAGGUGCUUGUACUUGAAGCAUAUUAUUGAUGAUGAUGGAAUUGGUGGAAUUAGUGGAAAACAGUUCGUGGCCGAGAUCAAAUGGCAUAAUGUUAUUGAAUUGUAUUUGGAUCUAUCUGUUGGGAUAUUAUCAACUUAUCCUUUGUGACAAUAUCUGCAUUACAAUUGUAAGGUGUCUGAAAACAAUGCUCAUCAAAUGAGUUUACUUGAAGCACUGAUAGCAUGUCAGUGGGACCAAUUGAAUACUGGAAUCCACUUGAUGGCACCUGAAGACAAUAUAUAGGUUCCAUUCGGGCAUGCAUCACUGUAAAUUUUAUUUUGUCCAU
RNA transcript from Musa acuminata AAA Group (dessert banana), 4564 nucleotides. It is a transcript of the gene named probable histidine kinase 4, with no coding region annotated. The transcript is spliced from 12 exons. The record is from RefSeq and is a predicted model, not a curated record. Lineage: Eukaryota; Viridiplantae; Streptophyta; Magnoliopsida; Zingiberales; Musaceae.